UAGGACAGCUGGAUAUUAGGAGAUAUAUAUAGGGAAAACUUUAAAAAUCACCCAUGUGGUUUCGUAGUUUCUCACUGUGCGACCCUGUAGUGUGGUUUCGUAGUUUCUCACUUUGCGCCCCUGCGGUUUAAAAUAUAUCAAUUUGCUCCCUUGUAGUUUCUUUUUUCUCUUUUUCUUAUCAAUUUUAUUAUUUCUUUUCUUAAAUUAGUGAUAAAGUUAAAAUUAAAGAGUACUAAAGUGAAUAUUUGAUAAAUCUAUAUGGAUAUCUGAAAUUUUUUGUAUAUAAUUUAAUGAAAUAUUAACGAAAAAGCUAUCGAAAAAAUAAAAACGAAACCAUAGAGGGGACAAUUUGAUACAUUUGAAAUCACAAGGGGGCAAAGUAAGAAACUACGAAACAACAGGAGGGUUUUGAAGUUUUU
Molecule: long non-coding RNA, 419 nt
Filed under: Ananas comosus (pineapple)
Lineage: Eukaryota; Viridiplantae; Streptophyta; Magnoliopsida; Poales; Bromeliaceae
Description: long non-coding RNA (ACOM_LNC044890)
Source: RNAcentral